AGGAACUUAGGAUAAAUUUAGACCAAGGGCCUUCAAAGCCCUAAGCAGGAGUUAAAAUCUCCUAGUCCCUG
This 71-nucleotide transfer RNA is filed under the name Sinibotia robusta. Its description in RNAcentral is "tRNA-Trp". It matches the Rfam family "tRNA". Rfam says of the family: Transfer RNA (tRNA) molecules are approximately 80 nucleotides in length. Their secondary structure includes four short double-helical elements and three loops (D, anti-codon, and T loops). The record is from RNAcentral. Lineage: Eukaryota; Metazoa; Chordata; Actinopteri; Cypriniformes; Botiidae.